GUGCCUAAUACAUGCAAGUAGAACGCUGAAGACUUUAGCUUGCUAAAGUUGGAAGAGUUGCGAACGGGUGAGUAACGCGUAGGUAACCUGCCUACUAGCGGGGGAUAACUAUUGGAAACGAUAGCUAAUACCGCAUAACAGCAUUUAACACAUGUUAGAUGCUUGAAAGGAGCAAUUGCUUCACUAGUAGAUGGACCUGCGUUGUAUUAGCUAGUUGGUGAGGUAACGGCUCACCAAGGCGACGAUACAUAGCCGACCUGAGAGGGUGAUCGGCCACACUGGGACUGAGACACGGCCCAGACUCCUACGGGAGGCAGCAGUAGGGAAUCUUCGGCAAUGGGGGCAACCCUGACCGAGCAACGCCGCGUGAGUGAAGAAGGUUUUCGGAUCGUAAAGCUCUGUUGUAAGAGAAGAACGUGUGUGAGAGUGGAAAGUUCACACAGUGACGGUAACUUACCAGAAAGGGACGGCUAACUACGUGCCAGCAGCCGCGGUAAUACGUAGGUCCCGAGCGUUGUCCGGAUUUAUAGGGCGUAAAGCGAGCGCAGGCGGUUUAAUAAGUCUGAAGUUAAAGGCAGUGGGCUUAACCAUUGUUCGCUUUUGGAAACUGUUAGACUUGAGUGCAGA
Molecule: ribosomal RNA, 627 nt
Filed under: Streptococcus infantarius
Lineage: Bacteria; Bacillati; Bacillota; Bacilli; Lactobacillales; Streptococcaceae
Description: bacterial SSU rRNA
Rfam family: Bacterial small subunit ribosomal RNA
Source: RNAcentral